CAGCAUAAACCACGAAAUUUAUCUUUCAACUCUGUUUUUUUCACCAAAAUAAUAUUCUAAUAAGAGCCCCCUAUUUCUAAUUUUGAGAGCGCCCUGGGCGCUUCUUACGUCGAAUACGGUAUAUCUUAGCGGCCAGGCCAGAUUUUAGAUAUCUUUCAAGAAUUAAGAAAUCUUAGUAUGGGCAUUAACAUACCUCAGCAGCAUGAAGGGCAUUAAGAUAUCUUAGUAGGCUGGCUAGCACGAAGAUAUCUCUCUAGUUGGGUCUAGCAUUAACAUAUCUUAGUGUUAGUUAUUGCUACUGAGCUAUCUUAGCAGCCAGGGCUCACGCUAAGAUAUGUCAGGUGCCAAGACUAGUCUUAAGAUAUCUUAGCAAUCAGGUCUAAGAUUAACAUGUUUAAUGUUAAGAUAUCUCAGAAGCCAGGGCUCUCACUAAGAUAUAUCAGGAGCCAAGACUAGUCUCAAGAUAUCUUAGCAAUCAGGUCUAAGAUUAACAUGUUUAAUGUUAAGAUAUCUUAGAAGCCAGGGCUCACACUAAGAUAUGUCAGGUGCCAAGACUAGUCUUAAGAUAUCUUAGCAAUCAGGUCUAAGAUUAACAUGUUUAAAAGCCAGGGCUCACGCUCACGCUAAGAUAUGUCAGGUGCCAAGACUAGUCUUAAGAUAUCUUAGCAAUCAGGUCUAAGAUUAACAUGUUUAAAAGCCAGGGCUCACGCUCACGCUAAGAUAUGUCAGGUGCCAAGACUAGUCUUAAGAUAUCUUAGCAAUCAGGUCUAAGAUUAACAUGUUUAAAAGCCAGGGCUCACGCUCACACUAAGAUAUGUCAGGUGCCAAGACUAGUCUUAAGAUAUCUUAGCAAUCAGGUCUAAGAUUAACAUGUUUAAAAGCCAGGGCUCACGCUCACGCUAAGAUAUGUCAGGUGCCAAGACUAGUCUUAAGAUAUCUCAGCAAUCAGGUCUAAGAUUAAUGUUAAGAUAUCUCAGAAGCCGAGCACUAAGAGGAGCAGGGCGAAGUCCCUCCACAUAUUUGACACAUAUUUUCUCCAGUAUACAGGAUAUUUAGUUCUUAGAUUCAUCUGUUUUCUGUUUUAAGUGCCUAUUCCCAGUUGUUCCUACUUGAGAGUAUAUUGUAUAAUAAUAUCUGUCUUUCCCCAAUCAACUGUGAUAUGUAUUAAUUUAUUCUCUUUUAGAAGUGCUUUAGAUGUUUUUUGACCUGUUUAGCUAGAGCAUAACGGCUGUAGGAGAUUUCAGCUGUGUACAGGACGCUGCCUGGACAGAUUGCCUGUUUUCUUAGUUUUGUGGUAUGCAAACUUUUAGCUAGAAUAAUUACCUGCCCUUGCAAUGUACAAUUUUUGCCAGUGAAAACACUUAAAGUUCAAAAUAAAGUAAUAUGAAUUGA
Long non-coding RNA from Haliotis rufescens (red abalone), 1392 nucleotides. RefSeq lists it as uncharacterized. The transcript is spliced from 2 exons. The record is from RefSeq and is a predicted model, not a curated record. NCBI's taxonomy places the organism in Eukaryota, Metazoa, Mollusca, Gastropoda, Lepetellida, Haliotidae.